UUUAAUAUCAGCUACUAAAAUAUUAAAGAAAACAAGUUCCAGGACUCCUAGAUAAAGAAUUCCUGCCAAGGCCCAGGUAAGUAAUCUAGAGCAAGACUUGGAUCACAGAGCUCAAGUCUGUUUCUGGGACGGUUGAGAGAGCAGGCGGAAUGAUAUGAUCUUCCUUGUAUUUACAGACAGAUGAAGUCCCAACAAAGGCAUUUCCUGGAGCUCCCUAGUGGCCCCAGGGAUCGGCAGGGAGAUCUUUUGGGCUGGGGAAGGGGGGUAGAGGGGAUGUGAGGCUUCAGUACAACUGGUUGUCAUAGUAAUAGAAUCAGCAAAGCAACAAACUCCAACAUGUCCUGGCUGACAUGAGAGGGAGGAGAAGACCAGGAAACAACGCAGAUCUUUCUCUAACUGGCCUGCCUGCCUGCCUCCCAGUCUUCUGAGGAACUGGCUGUGACGAAUACAGGUGAUCUACGCCACUCCACUCCUUCAUUUUACAGGAGAGGCAAGAAAAGUCAGUGGAAGUCACCAAACAGGAGAAGAUCUCAACUUGAGAAUCUGAAGAUGCAACUUGUUCUCUCUAGAGAGUUUCUAAGAAGUUUGUAUGAAGUUUGAUGAAAAUCAUUGAACUCAUCUGAAAGUUUUUGUGAUACAGACAACAUCAGAUGUUAUGGUUGAGUUUAAACCUCAAUUCACUUAUGAGGCAAAGUUAUUAAGGAAGGGGAAAGAAUUGUAAUUGGUUUAAUAGCGAAAAAAGGAAACAAAAAGGAUGAGAUGCAUUACUUAAAAUAUGAUCAUUUGAUUGCUAACCUACCACAAGUAGGAUUUGAUAUUUAUUCUUCUUUCCUAUUCUCUCUUUCUCUCUAUUCCCACAGACUUAAAAAAGUCUCCUAGGAUUUUAUUUCUAAUUCUACUCCUUGCUCUCAGUCAGAAAUAGGGUAAAUUUGAGCACAAUUCUAGGAUGUUGUACCCAUUCUGUGGAAAGUCUGGUGGCUUGACUGAGAUCAGAGAGUUGUAAGUUUUUGUUUUUUGCAAAAUUUUUGUCAAUAAACCUAAUUCUUAUCUUAA
Long non-coding RNA from Monodelphis domestica (gray short-tailed opossum), 1053 nucleotides. RefSeq lists it as uncharacterized. The record is from RefSeq and is a predicted model, not a curated record. Lineage: Eukaryota; Metazoa; Chordata; Mammalia; Didelphimorphia; Didelphidae.